RNAcentral lists this ribosomal RNA (253 nucleotides) under uncultured bacterium. RNAcentral describes it as "partial 16S ribosomal RNA". It matches the Rfam family "Bacterial small subunit ribosomal RNA", at positions 524 to 776 of the family's 1533-position model. The record is from RNAcentral.
UACAGAGGGGGCAAGCGUUAUUCGGAAUUAUUGGGCGUAAAGGGCGCGUAGGCGGCUUUGCAAGUGACGGGUGAAAGCCCUCGGCUUAACCGAGGAACUGCCUGUCAGACUGUAAGGCUUGAGACCGGGAGAGGUGAGUGGAAUUCCCAGUGUAGCGGUGAAAUGCGCAGAUAUCGGGAGGAACACCAGCGGCGAAGGCGGCACUCUGGGCUGGUACUGACGCUGAGGAGCGAAAGCGUGGGUAGCAAACAGG